AAAAACAUAAAAAAUAAAAAUAUAAAUAAAAUAAAAAAUAAAUAAGAAAAAAUUAUAAAAUUAAUAAUUUAUAUUUAUAAUAGCAAUAAAAGUUAAGAAUUAAAAUAUCAUAUACCUCAUAGCUCGAACCACAAAUUGUAAUUAAUUAAAAUAUAAGCUCUAAAGCGUUACGUUUCUCGUAUUCUAAAAUGUCACACGUCUUAUAGUUUGAUAACCAAAAGUGCAAUUUACUUUUUUUAUAUUUUGAUUUUAUUUCAGAAGAAGACAGAGCUAAGCAUCGAUCAGUUUUAUUCGAUCAAUAAUUUUAUUCGAGAAAAGAAUAUGUUACACAAUCUAAUAAAAUUUAAAAUGCCUAAUUGUUAAAGUUAAAAAUCGACCGAUCAUAUUUUUAAUAUUUUAAAAUAUUUUAAAUAUGAAAUUAAUUGUUCAUCAGACUAUAAAUAUAGCAUUGAAAUUUGAUAUUAAAAUCAAAGUAAAAAUGUAUAGUAUUUUUCUAAAAUACAAACAAAUAUUUUAAAUCAACUAUCGAACUUUUCAAAAUUUUAUUUUUACUAUCUAAUCUUUUUAUACAUUAGAUUUGAGUUAGUCAGUGAUACCUUGACUUUAAAAUUUGAAUGUAUUUUUUAACUUUACAGUUGCAACUAUAUUUAUUAAAAUAACUAAUUAAAUUAAACUUUAUCAAUUUUUUUAUUUUUUAUUUACAAUCUAUAUCUAAUUAAAAAUAUUAUAAAAUUAAAAUUUAUAUUUAAUAUAUACAGUCUAAACUAUUUAAAAGUCAUAUAUAAAUAAUUAUAUAUUAUAAUAAAUUUUUAUAAUGAAAGAGUGAAAAUUAGAUUAGAUUAAAAGAAGACACUACAACAGAAUUAGGUUAUAGUGGUACAUAUUUGGAACAUUUUUGUGUGUUCUAUUUAUGUCAAAAUUUUAAAAAAAAUCGACUAAUGACUAAAUAUAAAGCCCAAUCCAACAAAAAAAAAAAGUUAUUCUACUCAACUCACCCCACCCAGCCCAUUCGGCCCGAUUACAAACAGAAAAAAAAAAAAAAUCGAUUACCAUUUCCCCUUCUCCCUUACUCAAUCUACUGAAAUCCUAGACGAAUAUUCCUUCCUCUCGUCCUCCUCCGCCACCGCAGCAAACGAGAUAGAGUUUCGGCGAUUGCUAAAUGCUUAAAUAAGCGUUGAUAAAUUAACAGCACUCUUUUUAGAUUAUAGCGACACUGUUUAACUGUCACUAUAUACCUUGCGACUCCACUUAUAGUAACACUUUUUAAAAGUGUCGGUAACUUAGCUAGUAGUACUUUUUUUGACAUAUACCAAUAUUUAAAAAUAUCGCUAUAAACCGUUUUUAUUGUAAUGAGAGUUUGAUUCCUCAGUCUAGACUCUAAAUCAGUGAAGGGAGUGAAAAAUUAAAAUAAAAAAAAAUAAAAUAAU
Molecule: long non-coding RNA, 1427 nt
Filed under: Ananas comosus (pineapple)
Lineage: Eukaryota; Viridiplantae; Streptophyta; Magnoliopsida; Poales; Bromeliaceae
Description: long non-coding RNA (ACOM_LNC004630)
Source: RNAcentral